Molecule: unclassified non-coding RNA, 636 nt
Filed under: Hevea brasiliensis (rubber tree)
Lineage: Eukaryota; Viridiplantae; Streptophyta; Magnoliopsida; Malpighiales; Euphorbiaceae
Source: RNAcentral
ACUUGAAUCUAACAUUCUCAUCCCUAUCUAAUCCUUCUCCUGAUCUCCUCCAAGAAAUCUGUGUGCGCGUCUCUCUCUCUAAGCCUAGCGAAGAUGAUGCAUAUGACCUUAUACUGGGGCAUCGAGGUAACGCUCUUGUUUGAUUCUUGGAAAACCGAUUCAUGGCUGAGUUACUUCCUCUCCUUGCUCGCCUGCUUCCUCUUCUCCUCCUUCUACCAAUACAUGGAAGAUCGACGCAUCCGAUUUAAAGCCCUAGCUUCCUCUCGCUCCCUGCGAUCUUCUCUAGAUGUUCCGCUUUUGCGCUCCGAAGGUCGUUUAAGUCCCGCAAAUUUCGCGUGUGCUGUGCUGUUCGGGGUCAACUCGGCGAUCGGGUACCUACUGAUGUUGGCGAUAAUGUCUUUUAACGGCGGCGUAUUUUUGGCAAUUGUUUUGGGAUUAUCCGUUGGGUAUUUGUGGUUUAGAAGUGAAGACGAGGCGGUUGUAGUGGUGGAGGAUCCCUGUGCUUGUGCUUGAGAAAUUCCAAUUCAUUCUUAUACCCUCUUUGUUUAAAAAGUUGAAUUCCUGCAAUUCUGUUGUUUUAGCUUCAUAUCAUAGUGACUAUUGCAUGAUAGUGAAUUUGUUGUUGUUGGGUUUUCA